AUCAUCCGUUCUGUUUUAUGCUUCCCUUCCGCGCCGCAGAAGAAAGAAUAGCCUGUUGCUAGGAGACCCUAAGGGAAUCCCAAACACCGCAUUGACAGAGAGAGGGUUUUGUCCUUUUUACUUGAACAAAGUGGAAAAUCGCAUCAUUUAUCUCACUUUCCAUUCAUCUUCUGUGAUUAUAAAGGUUUUGAUCUAACCUGGAUACUGAGCCAUGUGGAUCUCUGGAAAAGCAUCUCCAUCUCCAAAAUCCUAACUACUGAGGAAGCUGCAUGUUGUGAUAUGCCCUAUGAAGCGGAUGAUGUGCCAGGGAACUGAGGGAGGCUGACAGCCAGUGAGAAGCUGAAGCCUCAGUCUGACAACCUGUGAGGAACUAAGCCCUGCCAACAACCAAAGCAAUCUUGGAAACAGAGUAACUCUCAAUCAGGCCUUCAGGAAUUGAACUCCGGAUCCUGUGCUCACAAGGCAGGCGCUG
Molecule: long non-coding RNA, 472 nt
Organism: Chinchilla lanigera (long-tailed chinchilla)
Lineage: Eukaryota; Metazoa; Chordata; Mammalia; Rodentia; Chinchillidae
Exons: 4
Source: RefSeq, a predicted model, not a curated record